GCAGGUUUGUCUGGCCAAAGCUGCACCAAGAUCUUUUUGUGGGAACAAUUGUGAUGCAGUGCGUUGACUUUGGAACCCUAAGUCAGGGCUUCUGUGACCUUGACCAAGGGUUGCAGGUCUUGGAACCCAGGAUGACUCUCCAAAGCCUACAGCAACUUGCAGUGAAAAAAACUUCAAGGCUUGGAAGAUUGUGAGUGGUACCCUCUAUGAAAGGAUUUGUUCUUAUCAGCAUCUCUGAGUGUUGGCAGAAUGGAGCCAUAGGAAAGAACAUGGGCUUUGAAGCUGGACUGAUCUUUCGUUGAAUCGUGACUCUACUACUUCCCAGAUGCAUGGCUUUGUACCUCCUUGAGCCUCGGCUUUCUCAUCUCUCUGCAAAGAAAAGAAAUGGUUGGCUGAAAAACUCACGCCAUCUGCACUAUUUGAGCUCUCCAUUCCCCUGACUGCCCACUUGAAUACAGAACUUUUCAGCUAAAUCCCGUUGAUCAUUUGGCUCAUGCCCUCAUAUUAAACAGGAGAAUCCUGAAACCAAAGUCACUCAACUAGCCAGGGCAAAGCUGAGGUUGGGCUGGACUUCCCAGGACACACCCUGCCUCCUACUGAUGGACUCCUUCCUCAUGCAGCUGCAGAACGUGCAUGUACCUUUGCAGUCAGGAGGACUUGGGUUCAAACCCAAGCUUUGUCACCUGCUGAGUCUGUGACUUUAGGUGGAUUACAGAUGCUCCCAGCACUGCAGUUCACCCAUUUAUAAAAUGUAGAUUUUCACACAGUCUUCCAGGGUUAUUGCACAGAAUUGAGAUGACAUGAAACAUGCCCAGCCAGAGUCUGGCACAUCACAGCUGCCCAAUGCUAUUUGCCUUUGUCCUUCACUCAAAAUUCUCACCGCAAGUCAUAAUAAUGGAAAUAGCUCACAUUUCCUGAGUGCUUACUUAGGGCCAGGAAUGGGUCUAAGCACCUCACAUGUAUUAGCUUAUUUAUUCCUCUUUCUCUAAAGACAAAAGUAUCUUUCUUGAUUCCCUAAAGCUAUCCAUCCUCCCAACUACUGGACUGCCUGGCCUAGUGCCAUUUCAACAGAGUUAGCUGAUUUUAAACAAUAUGUUGCUGAAAUGAUUUCUUGCUUUCUGUCCUGGCAAGUAGCAGCCAGCUUGUCUGAUGUGACAAAAUGUGAUGAAACUAAAUGCUGUUUUCUUCGCUUUCAGUACAUAUGAGUGGUCCAAAAUCUGAACUCAAGGUUAACUCUUGCAGAGGGGGUUGGGCAAUAGUGAAGGGUGCAGGGAGGAGUGGCUUCUCAUAGAGUUAGGAACAGGGUGGCAGCUGGGGUGUUUGGGACACAGAUGAGGUCUCUCUCCACAGUCUAACAACCAGUAGUGAAAGAAGUCAGAGUUUUGCUGCAAAGUUCAAAAACUUUAGUUUGGUCUCCAGGCACCCACUACAUAAUUGCAUCGUCACCCCUCAGCCCAGCUCCCAUCUCAGCACAUCCAGUCCCUCCCUCCAGCCACCCUGAACUAGGCGCGGGGCCUAGAAUGCAUGUGUUCAAUCUCAUUAUUUCAUGUCUCUGAACUCUUGCAAUGGACUCCUGUCCUCUCACCCUGAAGUCCUC
This 1597-nucleotide long non-coding RNA is filed under the name Homo sapiens (human). Its description in RNAcentral is "HSALNT0239545". The record is from RNAcentral. Lineage: Eukaryota; Metazoa; Chordata; Mammalia; Primates; Hominidae.